AAAAACUCAUACAAGCUGAAUUCUGCUUGGGAAUUAUUUGUUGAUAGGUCUUCAACUUAGGUCUGAGCAAGAACUGGAAUAGUCGUGGUUAGUUCAGAUCGCUACUACUUUUGGCAAGCAUUGACCUUUAACUUUAAGGCUUGUAACAACAAAGUAAAAUACAAAGCGUUAAUAGCCGACUUGAAAAUGGCCAAAGAAUUAAAGUGUCCAAGCUGAUAGCGCACAAUGACUUCCAGCUCAUAGUAAACCAGAUCAAUGAGGUAUGUGAUAAGUGCAAUUUGUGAAUUUAUUUAGGUCACAUUAUUAAAUUUUUAAUUCGUCAAAUUAUUAAUUCCUAUUCAAUUUAGGUUAAUUUUCUUUUUAUUUUUAGUGAUUGACUUGUUCGAAGCACUUAGAAAAGAAAGAAGGAUGAAAUUGAAUGAAAUUGCGAAUUAUGGGGAUCAAAGUCACACUUUGAAAAUUGAAAGACUUGAAUUGAACUAAAGAAAAAUGUUGGUUGCACAAUUAAUUUGAUUUAAGGGUUAGAAUGGAAGGGAAGAAAAAAAUUGAAAAAAAAAAAAAAAAAGAACCAUAGAAAAAGUCGGCUGGAAGAGGAGAACAGAGGGCUGCCUUGUGAUUUAAUGAUACAUAUAUAUACCCACAGAAACACGAGGAUGAUACAUACGAGGAAUGAAACAUUGGGCUCUGUGUGUAUAUAUAUAGCAAGCAGCAAGAUUGGACCAAAAAACACACAAUUGGGCUGAAAAUAAAAGAGGGCAGACCUGCUAGUGAAAGGGAAUAGAAGCACACAGACAAUUGGCGGCGCCGUGGAGAGACACCAACCGACCAGAAAUUGGACUCCAUUUUGGAGUCAAACAUUGAGCUGCUAGGGGCUGAAUUAAACUUUCUUUGUUUAAUUCCAACAUUAUGCAAAAUUAAAUUCUCUCAUGUUUUGGAGGAUGAUGAAACCCUUUAUAAUUUAUUUUUAAUUCGAGACAUUUAGUAUAAUUAAAUUCUUGUAAUUUUUGAUUAAUCUUGCAUACUGUUGGGAGUCGAAUUGCUGAUCACUUUGAUUUAAAUUGUGCUUCCACAAUUUUAACUAAAAGCGUGUUUCGUAAAGUGACACUUUACUAAUGGAACGAGUCAACUGGAUUGUGACACGUGCUGAUCUCUUGUCCGUUGGAUCUGAUUCUAGAUCAUUCUAUGUAUUUAACCCUAAAUGGUUUGGGUGGCUGUUGGCUUUUCAUUUUUACUCCUUCCGGCUUCUCGAGUUCAAGGGUUUUUUGAGUUGCCUCUCAUUUUGACUCUGUUCUUGAGUGAUUUUCAGAACUCUUUCUUGAGUUAAUCCAGAAUAUGUUAUAGAUCUCUAAGCUACUGAACUGCCGUGUUGAAUUUAUGGAAACCUGAGUGGUUUCAUGUGAUGUGCAGUCGGGUUUGAUGAAAUCUUGGUGAUUUCUUAUGUUUCCUAUGUGGAAUAGCUUACAUAUUGUAUAAUGACUUGUGAAGUCAUGUGAUUCUUGGAUGGCAAUACCUGUGACUUAAGUGUCUGAGUGAUCUGUUCGUGGUUUCUUCGUGAACCGUGGUCUGCCUUGGUGAAUCUUUAUGAGAUAAGUCUUUGUGACUUGUAUGUUGUAAUAUUCUGGAAACAUUGUAUACUUACUGCCUGAUUUUGGGGGCCUUAUAGUGCAACCGAGUUGAAUCCAUUGAUAGUGGAUGCUCAACAAGGGAUUAGGCACUUGUGCUGAACCUCUGGAGCUUCGACCGAAAAAAUCAUCGUGUUAAUUAUUUUUGCACUUUUAUUUUAUGCAUUUCUUGGUUCGGUUUCUAUGAAUGUUGGUUAAUCUUGAGUGUCUCGACAUUUCAAUGGUAUCAGAGCUUCUUGGAAUAUUGAGGACACCUGAUUCUUGAAGGAACCGGAUUCUUGAAAACUGCUCCAAAUUGUAGUGAGCACUGGCUGCAGGAAUCUGAGUUCUUCGAACUCAUUUGGUGAGAUCUUUCCUAUAUUACUCUGCUAGUAAUAUUUACUGUAGAAUUUCCUGAAUAUUUCCCUUGACUUACCUUGCAUUAUAAAACCUAUUGUGCUUGGUCUUUGUCCUAAGGCUCUUGAAGUCAUAGGAAUCUGAGAUAACAACGCAGUAAGGUGUGAAAUUGGAAGGUCCUGCUGGAGAAAUUCAAUUUUGACAUACAUAGGAAUUGUGAACUCUGUUUGAUAUUCCUGCUUCUUUACUGAGUGCUGUGUGUUCAUUGCUUGAGUAAAUCAGUUGAAGUGUUUACUGAUUGGAUAAAAGUGCAUAAGUACAUUGUUGAAUUUACCCCUAAUCCCUUAAUCAGUCUGCAGUCACCACAUUGUAUAUCCCUGUGUGUUCUUGAGAUCAAACUUGUGUGCUGUGUAUUAACUUGGUGUUUCUUACAAUGGCAGCCACUGCUAAGUUUGAAAUGAGCAUGUUUGAUGGAAGGGAGGAUUUUAGUAUGUGGAGUCACAAAAUGAAAGCUAUUUUGAUGCAACAAAGGUGUGCUAGAGCCCUAGAUAAUUCUUGGCCUGCUAAGUUACCUCCUGGUAGAAGAACUAAGUUAGAAGAAACUGCUUGGAGUAGCAUUUUCUUAUAUCUUUCAGACAAUGUGAUCAGAACCAUAGGAGAAACUAAAACUGCUUCUGAAUUGUGGAACAAAUUGAAAGCACAAUAUGAACCAAAAACUGUUCCAAACAAAUGUUUUGUGCUAAAACAAUUCUUUUCUUUCAAAAUGGAUCCAUUUGUUGACUUAGAAGAAAAUUUGAAUAGGUUUACAAAGUUGAACCAAGAUCUAGCCAACUGUGAUGAAAAAUUAUCACAAGAUCAGUUGGCUGUGGUCUUGUUGAACUCUAUUAGUAAUAGGUAUAGAGAUCUAAAGAAUGCCUUGGAAUAUGGUAGAGAAAAUCUUACCACAGACAUCAUAACAAAUGCCUUAAGAAAUAGGGUUCUUGAAUUAAAAUCAGAUUCUAUUAACCAACGAAAUGGAGAAAAUCUUUUGUUAAAGGGCAAAAAUGUUGGUACAUCUAAUUUUCAUUCAAAGUUUCAAAAUAACCCUAGAAAAAUGAAAUUUGACAAAAUGAAAUCUAAAUAUAAGGCAAAUGGAAAGAAAUGUUACUAGUGUGGUAAGUUGGGUCACUUUGCUAAAGACUGUUAUAAAAAGCAAAAUGAUUUGAAAGAAAAGAAGAUAAGUGAAGGUAACAAUGUUAUAUCCUAUGAUAAACAAAAUGUGAACUAUGGCCUGGUUCUUGUAAAUGUUGAAAGGAACCUAAAUCAAGAAUGGAUUCUUGAUUCAGGUUGCUCUUUCCAUAUGUGCCCUGACAAAAACUAUUUUUUGGAUCUUGAACAAACUAAAGGUGGCCAAGUUAUCAUGGGAAAUAACAUGACUUGCAAAGUAAAGGGUAUUGGAACAGUAAAACUACUUCUGAAAAUGGCAGAAUUUUACUUUUAAAGGUACCAGAUUUGUUCCUGAAUUAGAAAGAAACCUAGUGUCUCUAGGAAUGUUGGAUGACAUGGAGUUUGACAUAAAAUUGGGUCAAGGACAAAUAAAAAUCUUUAGGGAUAGUGAUUUAAUCACUUCUAUCCCAAAUAGAUAUGGUUUAUACUUUCUAAAUGUAAAACUUUACUUGGAUUUUCAGCAACAAUUUUAGUGAUAAAAAUAAUCUUACAAAAUUAUGGCAUUGUAGACUUGGUCACAUUGGGUUGAAAGGGUUUAAGGCUUUACAUAAUAAAGGUGUAUUUGGAAAACUAAACAUUGGUGACUUGUCUAAUUGUAAACAAUGUUUGGUAGGAAAACAAGUUAAGUUACCUUUUCCCGCGAGUACUCAUAAAUUAAAGCAAAUUCUAGAAUAUUUACAUGCUGAUUUGUGGGGUCCUUCAUCUAUCCCUACAUUGUCUGGUUAUAAAUAUUACUUGUUGAUUGUUGAUGAUUUUUCAAGGAAAUUUUUGGUUUUUCUAUUAAAAACAAAAGAUGAAACUUUUACCAUUUUCAAAGAUUGGAAAACUCAAAUUGAAAAUCAAACUGACUUGAAAAUCAAGACUUUAAGAACAGAGAAUGGUCUAGAAUUUUGCAACUAUGAGCUUGAUAAUUUCUGUAAAGGGCAUUACAGAAAGGAUGAAUAGGACUAUAUUAAAUAAGGUUAGAUGCAUGCUUUUAAGUUUAGGCCUGCCCAAAUUAUUUUGGGGUGAGGCUGUAAAAACUACUGCAUAUUUGAUUAAUCGAAGUCCUACAAGUGCUUUAAACUAUGAUGUGCCUAAAUUUGAGUGGACACAAAAGCCUGUUACUUAUUCUUACUUGAAAACAUUUGGUUGUGCUGCAUUUGCUCAUCAAAACAUAGGAAAACUUGAACCUAGAUCUAUAAAGUGUGUGUUUUUGGGCUAUGCUGAAAAUGUUAAAGGAUAUAGGCUGUGGGUUUAUGAGGAAAAGGGUUAUUGAGUAAUAAUAAGGAGGGAUGUGGUCUUUAAUGAAUCAUGUAUAACAUGUUUGGAAGGGAAGAAAGGGAACUUAACUGAAAAUGAUGUCCAAAUUGAGGUGGAGCCUACUAAAAUUGAUGAUAUCAGUUCUGCCCCUCUAGAAACUGAAUGUACAAAGGCUGACCAGAAUGAGAAUGAGCCUGAUUUGACUGAAUCUGAUCAAGGUGAUGACUUAAUUCUACCCCUAGAUGAGUACCAGCUCACUAGAGAUAGGGAUAGAAGGCAAAUUAGACCACCUGCUAGGUUUAAUAGUGAUGACUUUGUGUCUUUGUUCACUUACCAAGAAGAAAUUGAAUCUGAACCUAGUUCCUACCAUGAAGCCUUGAAAUCUAAAGAUUCUAAGCGGUGGUUGAGUGCUAUGGAAGAAGAAAUGUCUUCCUUAUACAAGAAUGAAACUUGGGAAUUGGUUGACAAACCAAAGGAUAAUAAACUAGUUGAUUGCAAGUGGAUUUAUAAAAUAAAGGAAGGGGAAGGUGGCACUAAUAAUGUUAGAUACAAAGCUAGACUAGUUGCCAAGGGUUUCACACAAAAGGAGGGUGUGGACUAUGAUGAGAUUUUUUCCCCCGUGGUCAAAUAUACAAUUAUAAGAUGUAUUCUUGCUUUAGCUGUGCAAUUUAAUUGGAAACUUGAUCGAUUGGAUGUAAAAACUGCUUUUCUUUAUGGUGAAUUGGAUGAAAUUAUCUACAUGAAUCAGCCUUUAGGAUUUAUAAAAGAAAAUUCUGAAAAAACUGUGUUUGCUGAAAAAAUCUUUAUAUGGCAUAAAACAAGCUCCAAGACAAUGGUAUAAAAUAUUUGAUUCAUUUGUCUUGAAACUUGGGUUUAGUAGAAGCAAUUAUGAUACAUGUCUUUAUUGUAAAGGAAGUGAUAGUAAAGAUUCUUUGUAUCUUGUGCUUUAUGUUGAUGAUAUGCUUCUUGCUAGUGCCAAUAAAGUUGAAAUUGAUGAUAUCAAACACAAACUAAAAUCAAAAUUUGAUAUGAAGGAUCUUGGUUCUGCUAGGAAGAUACUUGGCAUGCAUAUUAAAAGAGAUGAAAAAUCUGAUUGCUUGAUUUUAUGUCAAGAAGAAUAUGUGAAUAAGAUCCUUAAGAAGUUUAAUAUGUUUGAUUGUAAGCCUGUGACUUUACCCCUUGCUAAUCACUUUAUUCUAACAUCUGAUUCAUGCCCCAAAACUGAAGAUGAACUUGAAAGAAUGUCUAAAAUACCUUAUGUCAAUGCUAUUGGUUCAGUCAUGUACUUAAUGAUUUGCACCAGACCUGAUUUGGCAUUUAGUAUUAGUGUUUUGAGUAGAUUCAUGGGGAAUCCUGGUGAAACACAUUGGGAAGCCUUAAAAUGGUUAAUGAGAUACUUAAAAGGUUCAUCCAACCUAGGUUUGAUGUUUAAAAUGGAUAAAGAUGGGAUAAUUCUAAAAGGUUAUACAGAUUCUGAUUUUGCUGGAAAUAGAGACAAUAGGAAAUCCACUUCAUCUUAUUUUUAUACUUUUUGUGGCACUGUAAUAAGCUGGAAAUCUCAAUUGCAGAAAAUUGUUGCUCUAUCUUCCAUCGAGGCUGAAUAUAUUGCAGCCACUGAUGCCAUCAAAGAAGGCAUCUGGCUGCAUGGUUUGCUAAAUGAACUUGGUUUUGUAGAUACUAAUCCAAUUCUGUUUUCUGAUAAUCAAAGUGCAAUCCAUUUGAGUAAAAAUCUAAUGUUCCACAGUAGAACAAAACACAUUGAUGUUAAAUACCAUUUUAUAAGGGAUAUUAUUUCAAAAAGGUUGCUGAAAAUAAAUAAGAUUUGUACCUUGAACAACCCCUCAGACAUGGGAACUAAAGUAAUACUUUUAAACAAAUUUGAAAAUUGUUUGAAGAUAUUAUCUAUUGAUUCUUUAUAUUGAAUGUACAGGUACACUGAGCAUAUGAAACUAUAAAUGCUGGUUAAGCUCAUGGCUGCACUAUAUGUCUUAAAAUUAUGGAAGCAAGGUGGAGAUUGUUGGGAGUCGAACUGCUGAUCACUUUGAUUUGAAUUGUGCUUCCACAAUUUUAAUUAAAAGCGUGUUUCGUAAAGUGACACUUUUCUAAUGGAACGAGUCAACUGGAUUGUGACACGUGCUAAUCUCUUGGCCGUUGGAUUUGAUUCUAGAUCAUUCUAUGUAUUUAACCCUAAAUGGUUUGGGUGGCUGUUGGCUUUUCAUUUUUACUCCAUUCGGCUUCUCGAGUUCAAGGGUUUUUUGAGUCGCCUCUCUUUCUCUCUCGAUGAAUCUCUCAUUUUGGCUCUGUUCUUGAGUAAUUUUCAGAACUCUUUCUUGAGUUAAUCCAGAAUAUGUUAUAGAUCUCUAAGCUACUGAACUACCGUUUUGAGUUUAUGGAAACCUGAGUGGUUUUAUGUGAUGUGCAGUCGGGUUUGAUGAAAUCUUGGUGAUUUCUUGUGUUUUCUGUGUGGAAUAGCUUACAUAUUGUAUAAUGACUUGUGAAGUCAUGUGAUUCUUGGAUGGCAGUACCUGUGACUUAAGUGUCUGAGUGAUCUGUUCGUGGUUUCUUCGUAAACCGUGGUCUGCCUUGGUGAAUCUUUAUGAGAUAAGUCUUUGUGACUUGUAUAUUGUAAUAUUCUAGAAACGUCGUAUACUUAUUGCCUGAUUUUGGGGCCUUAUAGUGCAACUGAGCUGAAUCCAUUGAUAGUGGAUGCUCAACAGGGGAUUAGGCACUUGUGCUGAACCUUUGGAGCUUCGACCGAAAAAAUCAUCGUGUUCAUUAUUUUUUCACUUUUAUUUUAUGCAUUUCUUGGUUCGGUUUCUAUGAAUGUUGGUUAAUCUUGAGUGUCUCGACAUUUCACAUACUUAAUUUUAUUAUUUGAUUGCUUGAUCACCAAUCGAAUAUAUGAUUGCUUGUUGUAGUGUUGGGAGGCUCACAAUAAGUCUAGAGUACUAUUUGAUUAAUAUAUAUAUAUAUAUAUAUAUAAAAUAAAUUUUAGGAAUAAGAUUUAUUAUGUGUGCAAUCUUCUUUGAGAUAAUUGUGAAAUUAAAUGUGUUCUAUUCAUUCGAUUCAGACUAGGAAUAGAUUCGGAUCGUGAUUAGGAUACAUUUAAUUUGUUUUGAAAAAAAAAUUAAUUAGAUUAGAAUUCAAGAAUGCAUGAACGAAAUUAACAACGUAGUCAAGAAUUGAAGUAGAUAAUAAUAGGUGGAUUCGAAAUCCCAUAUAAUCUUCCCAUAUUGUUAAAUUCGCAUUUUACUCGCUUUCGUAGAUUAAGUUAGAUUAAUUAAAAAUCACAAAACAUUCUUAUUUGAUCACUUUAAAUUUGAUUAAACACUAGUGUAGUCAAUUAAAUUUUAUUCCUCGUGGGACGAUACUUUCAACUCAUCAAACCUAUUACUUGUCAACGAUCUCGUAUGCUUGCAGGUUUCGCAUGAACAGUCUGGAAGAUCAGUGAGUAGCUAUUUGAAAGCUACUAGAAGAGAAUUAAGGAACUUUGAGAUGAUAGAGGUAAAGCAACUACCUCGAUUCUAAAAUAGCCACACUAAUUUACCGGCUAGGUUCGCAACUGGCGAAGGGAUAAAUGAACAGAAAAGCAUCCUUUGGGAAAAAUUGGAUAGUCUACUGUCUAGGAAAAUAAUGUAACGCUGAUGGCCAUAUAUUCCAAGCCAUGUUGGAUGAGACCUUACAGUUCCUAAGAAUUUGGAAAGGGCUCGAUGAUCCAGCUGAGGAAUCUUUGAAAAUCAUAUGGGAGGACAGUCUUCAUAUCAUAAAAUCUUGAGCCAAGGAUAUCUUUGGCCAUCUCGAAUGAAGGACGUUCUAAACUUUGUGAAGAAAUGGGACAAAUGCAAAUAAUUUGUAGCCAUCAUUAGAGCUUACAACCAUAAUCAGCCCUUAGCCAUUUUCAAAAUGUGGAAUAGACUUGAUUGGGCUAAUGCCGGUUGGAGGAGGUGGAACUAAGUUCGUUAUUGUCCCCGUUGACUACUUUACCAAAUGGGCUGAGGCUGAACCUCUUGCAAAGAUAAUCGAGUACCAAACUACAGAGGCAUUUAGAAAUUGAUUAUUUGCAGAUUUAGAAUUUUCCAUUGCAAACUCACAAAUAAUGGAAAACAAUUUAACAAAGCACAUUUGAGGACCUUUUGCAAAGAGCGAAACAUUCAAAAGCAUUUCUCCAUUCCAAAUUAUCCCCAAGCUAAUAAGCAAGUUGAAACAAUCAAUAAAAUUUUCAACUAUACUUUGAAAGAUAAAUUAGAUGCUCUCAAAGGCUUAUGGGCUGAUGAACUCACUAGCGUGUUAUGGCCUUAUCGCAUCACCUCUCACACCAGUGUUGGAGAAACCUCAUUCUCCUUUGUGUGUUGGAGUUGAAGUCAUGAUUCUCCUCAAAAUAAGAGUCCUAUCAUUUCAAACCUCAUAUUUUGAUAAGGAGAACAACAAAAGGAAAUUACUAGUUGAGCACAACCUAUUGGAACAAAAAAGAAACGAAGUUGAGCUUUAAAAGGCAGCCUAUAAGCAACGAAAUGCCAAGUACUAUAACGAGAAAGUGCGAAUAAGAAAAUUUGAAGUUGGCAAUUUGGUGGUAAGAGAAGUAUUCAUCGUUCACAUGGGAACUCAACAUGGGAUCCCUGGGACCUAAUUGGGAGGGACUAUACAAGGUUACUAGAAUAUUAUCUAAAGGGUCCUAUGAGCUCGAAGAUAUACAAAGAUACCCAUUCUUGUGUCUAUGGAAUGUUGAACACCUCAAAACAUAUUAUCGGUAGAUGAUGAAUUGUACGACAUUGUACAAGAAGUUUGAAUAAAAUGAUCUUUAUGACGAUCACCUCAAUCUUGUACAAUACUUUGACAAAGUUUCAUGAAAAUUUUGGACAAACCUUUAACUUAGCUAAAGCUUGCCUCAGUUACAACACUUUGCCCAAUUUCCGACAUGAAAUUCUCAAGUCUGCUUCUCAGCAGCACAAGCUAAGGUUGUAAAUGCUACAACACUUAGACAAAAUUUUGUGGAAAUUCUGAACGAGCUCUUAAGCUCAGUUAAAGCUUCCCUUAGCUGCUAUACUUAGCCUAAUUUUAUAUACAAAAUUCCUAAGCAUGCUACUUAAUAGCAUGAUCUAAGGUUGUAAGUGUUACAACACUUAGAUAAACUUUCAUUGAAAUUUUGGACGAGCUUUUUGACUUAGCUAAAACUUGCAUCAGCUGCCAUAGUUAGCCCAAUUUUCGACACAAAAUUUCCAAGCCUAUUCCUUAGUAGCACAAGCUAAGAUUGUAAGUACUACAAUAGUUAGACAAAAUUUCGUGGAAAUUCUGGAUGAGCAUUACAGCUCAACUAAAGAUUGCCUCAGUUACAGCACUUAACCUAAUUUCCAACACGAAAUUCAAAAGUCUACAUCUCAGCAGCCUGGCUAAGUGUUACAAUAUUUAGAUAAAAAUUCCAUCAAAAUUCAUAUGAAAAGAUAAUAACAAACCUAAAUAUGAUAAGAAGUAGCCAAAUCAUAGAAAGACCAUAAAACAUGAUAAUAGUGUUUUUUCCCAAAAGAAAAACCUAAAUAAAGUAAAAAUCAAGCCCCCUAAAUAGGAAGAGAAGCAUUAUCACCAUCCUAGCUAAUAGGUUGGUUGUCUUGCUCUGAAACAGCUUUACCAUCUUCAUGAGCCCCAGAGAAGACAGUCCCAUUCAUGUCAUCUAGGAUUGCCUCAUAAUGGGAUAAGGUUUUCAUGAAGGAAAGUGACAUCCAAUUCUAGGGCCUUUUCUCCAUAAAAUUGAUCAGCACGUGGAUGGCCACCACAUAUACCUCUUGAUUAUAAGCUUGACCCUCAAGAGAAGCCUUCUACCUAUCCAUAGCUGUAGUCAUCUUAACCGCCAAUAAUCAAGGAGGCUCAAAAGAAGAAAAUUCUUACCUUAUCCAAAACUUCCAUUAAGUAAAGUAUUGACCUAUGAAUACAGACCCAAAAAUAAUACAGGAUUCAUUUGCACAACAUUUGAGCCAAAUGUCUUUACACAUGGUCAUUCCAUCUCCCAAUUAUAAGAUAUGUCAAAUUUUGAAGUGGAAGAGGAAAUGCUAAAGUGAAAGCCCUAGCUAGUGAAUGAGCUCUGAAAAAAAUCCAACAAAGCCCUAGGACAGGUACCACCAAAUCAUUCAAAUUUUACCUCGAAAUGUCUGGAUAAAAGGUGUGGGAAUGAAUCAAAGAGGCAGUUGCAGAACAAAUUAGAGAAGAAAUCACCGAGGGUUGAAUGGGAACUAGGCGAAUAUGCUCAUACCCAACUGGAGAAGAUUGAUGCUGCUAAGUAGGUAGAUGCUCACCUAAGAUGAGCUCACCCUGGAACGAUGAGCUAAACUGCCUUCCGCCUGAAUGUCCAACCUUCUCUUCUCCCCCUAGAAAGAUUAUACCAUUGGCGGGCUACUCUAAAAUACCUCAUCUCAAUGCUCGAUUCUGAAAAAUGGGAGGCAAAAUUUAGUACUUACUUGGGGCAUGAGGAGUAUUAGUCGCAAAAGAUCCACCCAAAAGAGGUUGUAAUCAUUGAUCAGGGCAACACAGAUCUUUGCUGGUGACUAAGAGCCCUAAUAAUAUUCAACUUGUUCCGGAGCUUAUGAUUAAUAGCAACUCAAUAUGAAGCUAUCGAAAUAAAGAAGUAAAAAAAAAAAAAUACAUCUCCUCUGUUAUCACUAAAAUAAGGUAAAAAAAUCGUACUUAUUCAUUUUCUGGUGACUGGUAAGGACCAUAUACCCCUGUCCACCUCAAACGAGUGGAACUGUCAAUCAACAUGAACGAAAAAGAAUUCUUCAUUCCACUUCUUAGCUGCAAAGGUGCCUUCCUAAAGCACGAGACCUCCUAAAUUUGGUUCUAGCUAGUAUAAUACUAGCCCAAAUCCUUUCCAUCCUCUUUGAAAUUAUGUAAUUCGUUGAACUCCUCGACCAUGAGCUCAAGGAACCCUGAGCCGUUCUGGCCAUUGGGAUAAAAUUAAGUAUGCGCUAUACCCCAAGCUUAAUUAAAUUUACAAACAAUAUGAUGAAUGGUAAUUUUAGGCUGAAAGACAAGAAAGGAUAAGGGUGACCCUCUACAGAUUGCAAGCCCAUUGGUUGGGUAAGGAAUACAGCAACACCGCCAAGCUAGGAAUGUAGCAGAUCCCUCUCCACUGCUCGAGGUACCCAGCUGUUACGGAAGACAUGAUAUCCCAGCAUACCUAGCUAACCUACGAGCCAACCUCACCUACUCCACGAACAACCACCUCUUCAACAUUCAUAUUCCCAUGAUUUCCUCUGGAUGAACUUGCCACGAUCUUGGAAAAAUAUGGGAAAAAUGAAGGGAAGUAUGGUUAUUUAAAGAAGGAAAAUUUCAAACUAACCAUAUUUGGGCCAUUGAUGGAAAAACAAUGGGAAAAUGGAAGGUCAUUGAUAUAUUUAUGGGGAAGCUUUCUCUGUAAGUCAUCAUGGGAGAAAAAGUAUGGACCAAAAAUUAUUAAAGGUAUUUAUUAAAGGUCCAAAAAUUUAUUUGACAUAAAAUCUUGGACCUUAGGGGAUAUUUGCAAACCUCCACCAAUUUAAAAGUUCAUUAAGGUAAUUACAAUUUGUUUUGAGUUGAGUUUAAAGGUCAUCAUGUCAAAACAGAGCUUCCAAACUAAAACACCUAGCUCAGUACAACUUUCAACUGAGCUCAACUUCUCAUUGAAAGGGGAGAACUCCUGCUGUCAUUUGGGAAACAUUGCCAUUACACCCUGAUUUCCUCACUCCAAAGCUGACUUCACACCUUUAUCUAACCCAUUCAUUUCGAGACACAUGGCAAACAUCAUGUGGCAUCUCCAAUCGUGGCCAAUCGCAACUUUGCAAUGAUUACUCCCCAUUUCAACUCCAACUUGGCACAUGGGAGCUCACCUUAAUACUCAAGCAAAAUUAAGAUCAGCAUCACACAUCUUAAGGCAAUCACUAUAGCCGAUUUGAUGUAACACUAACAAUUUACCUAUUUCCUCUAUAAAUGAGGAUAUAAUGGCUCUUAAUAGGAUCAAACUCGACCAAUGCAUAAGACUCACAUCCAAUUGUCUCCAUUUAAAAACAAAAACACUCUUUUCUUAUUCUUUCAACAACAUUUUACCAUUUCAGCACAAUUUACAUAUUUCAGUUCAAAUUAUCUCCUAUAAAUCAUCAAUUAAGUUGACAAAAGUGUCCUAGUCAUUUUUUGACGUCAAUAAUGCCCAUGUUGUACUGAAGGGACAGAGAAGGUCCCAAUUAUAUGUCUUACAGGAUUCUACAAAAUGUUUGAUACAAAUAAGUAUAAAUUAGGUAUUCCCGUAGAGUUUGAGUUUGGUAUAGUAUCGUGAGAGUUUGGUUUGUCGUUCACAUUAAAGAAUACAUCUCAAUCGAGUUCAGAAGUCAAGGGUAAUGUCACUUUAUAACCACAUCUAGAGGUGCCUAAGUAUUCAAUUGCUAGAGACAAACCCAAGAGAAAUAUUAGGUCUCCGCAGAGGUAAGUUGAAGCUCAAUUAGUUUCUUGUACUUCAAAUGUGGUCGAAUAUAUUGAGUGUAAAGAAUUUUUUACAGAAGCAAAUAGUUUUGUUGAUUCUGCUAUGGGGUGUGUUUCUGACUUGUUUGGUAAUUAUUGUUGAGUUAUUUGUUAUUUUGUUGUUGUUGGCGAUAAUUCGAGGAACUUUGGUACCCAGGAUAAUCCUGCUAAGCAGUGCUUGAUUUCAUAUAAUAUUCAAUUUUUCCUAAUUGGGCUUUGUGGGAGAGUGAAGAGUUUUGUUGGAGAAUUUUUGUGGAAGUGCCAAGUUCUAUUCCUUGCAGUUGAAUUCAUUACUAGGAGGAGAAUUUUUUAAGUCUCAUUCAUUGCAGUGAAAUUUGUGUCAAGGUGGAGAUUUGUUAAAUUGUGACCCAAAUUUCAUUAGAAAUUGGCAUUUUGGCUGGAAGAGGUCUUGAAAAUGUCAAAAUAUGAUUAAAAGAUGUCUAGGGCAGAGAUUAAGCAACCAAAUCCCCAACUGGACGCAUAAUGCCAAUCAGGUGUGAAAAUCAUAUCUAAAAUAGAGAUUUAGCGCCUAAGUGCCAGACGAAGUGCUGCAACACACUUGUUGUGCACAAGGAAGGGAUCUAGAGUGCCAAUGUUAUCUGAAGAAAUUUUGAUUCCAUUUUUUGACACGAUUUUUUGACACUAUUUCCAUUUAAAACAUAUUCCAUUGGAUUGUAUAAAUACUCCAUAUCAUUUUGGCUAUGUAUAGGAUUAGAGAACACAUUAGGAACACAAAAAUAAUUGUAUUCUCUUCUUAUAUAUUGAAUUCCCCUCCUCUGCCCGUGGUGUUUUUCACGUUAAACUCUUGUGUUGUCUUCAUACUGUCAUAGUCCUCUCGUCUAUUGAAUAUAACAAAGCGGUAUCAAAGCAAAUUGAUUUCGCCUCAUUUUACUAAAUAUCUCUGAAGUUUAGAUAAUUGAAAGGUUUAUAAGGUCAUAAAAGGCACAAAAUGAGAAAAUUAUAUAGUAUAUAUUUCUUUAAUAAAUUGUCGAUUUAGGUAUUCGUUGGACAAGAGAUCUUAUAUGGACGUUUGAAUUUAGUAAAUUAAGGUUUCUUCAAUAAAUUUGUUAUUGAUACAAUCAUUCAACAACAUUAAUAUAUAUAUCUAAUGACAAAAAGUUCUACACUUUGUAGGAAUAUGGUACCAAAAUGCAUUUAUCCACCAACAACGGACAAAGGGAAGAGUAAGGCCAUUGGAUCAUCAAAAGAAAGGUAAAAAAAUGCAAUAAAUUUGAAAACGUCAUUAUAACCCCUCAUAGAAAAAGAG
Molecule: long non-coding RNA, 14151 nt
Filed under: Olea europaea (common olive)
Lineage: Eukaryota; Viridiplantae; Streptophyta; Magnoliopsida; Lamiales; Oleaceae
Description: long non-coding RNA (OEUR_LNC001253)
Source: RNAcentral